This 298-nucleotide ribosomal RNA is filed under the name uncultured Sphingomonadaceae bacterium. RNAcentral describes it as "partial 16S ribosomal RNA". It matches the Rfam family "Bacterial small subunit ribosomal RNA", at positions 111 to 426 of the family's 1533-position model. The record is from RNAcentral. Lineage: Bacteria; Pseudomonadati; Pseudomonadota; Alphaproteobacteria; Sphingomonadales; Sphingomonadaceae.
UAACGCGUGGGAAUCUGCCCUGGAGUGGGGGAUAACCCGGCGAAAGCCGGGCUAAUACCGCAUACGUCCUGAGGGAGAAAGAUUUAUCGCUCUAGGAGGGGCCCGCGUCGGAUUAGCUAGUUGGUGAGGUAACGGCUCACCAAGGCGACGAUCCGUAGAUGGUUUGAGAGGAUGAUCAGCCACACUGGGACUGAGACACGGCCCAGACUCCUACGGGAGGCAGCAGUGGGGAAUAUUGGACAAUGGGGGCAACCCUGAUCCAGCAAUGCCGCGUUGGUGAUGAAGGCCUUAGGGUUGU